This 262-nucleotide long non-coding RNA is filed under the name Phoenix dactylifera (date palm). RNAcentral describes it as "long non-coding RNA (PDAC_LNC016552)". Lineage: Eukaryota; Viridiplantae; Streptophyta; Magnoliopsida; Arecales; Arecaceae. The record is from RNAcentral.
AAGAAGGUGGGAGCUUGUCAAUGGUACAAGCAACUUGAAGGCUCUCAAUUAUACCCAUUCCCCUUAAGCCUAAUUCAUGAUAAAUCACUGUUAACUCAUGGGCUUGGUCAACUACAGGCUUGGUGUCAACCAUCUUAUAAGACAGAAAUUGACUAGCAGUAUACUUGUCCAUUCCGGCAUCUUGGAUACCAUAUUUCUUAUUAAGAUCAUCCCAAAUCUCCUUGGAGGUUUUAAAAGUGCAGUAGACAUCAAAAAGGGGAUC